This 202-nucleotide long non-coding RNA is filed under the name Sorghum bicolor (sorghum). RNAcentral's name for it is "long non-coding RNA (SBIC_LNC003418)". Lineage: Eukaryota; Viridiplantae; Streptophyta; Magnoliopsida; Poales; Poaceae. The record is from RNAcentral.
AUAUUCGGCUAAUAUUUAGUAAUAAUAAAUAUUGGCUGAUAAUAAAAAUAUUUUAUGGUAAAAAGGGAUGGUUUUGUACUAAAUAGCCACGGCAUGUAAUUUUGUUCUUGCAGGUGAAUUGGUUGUGCACAUGUACGCAUGGUGACCUUUUAAAGGGAUCCAAAUUAGAUCAGAUCCAAGUAGAAAUAGCCAAUUAGCUUUA